Molecule: non-coding RNA, 54 nt
Organism: Salmo salar (Atlantic salmon)
Lineage: Eukaryota; Metazoa; Chordata; Actinopteri; Salmoniformes; Salmonidae
Source: Rfam
AUAAAACCAAUUUGUAAGUCGCUCUGGAUAAGAGCGUCUGCUAAAUGACGUAAA